RNAcentral lists this unclassified non-coding RNA (226 nucleotides) under Hevea brasiliensis (rubber tree). Lineage: Eukaryota; Viridiplantae; Streptophyta; Magnoliopsida; Malpighiales; Euphorbiaceae. The record is from RNAcentral.
AAAAAAUUCCGGCCACCCACUCAUGCUCCCAUCUUAACUAACCAUCUAGGCUAUAUUGGUGAUCAAUAAACAGCUUAGCAACAAUAUAAAUAAUCGGCAGAAAAAUUGUGUACAUAUCCCAGGCAUCGAGACCACAUGUAAAAACUUGAUGUCGCUGAAAUGGUUUCCUAUAGCAAUCUUAUAAAGAGUUGGGCUCCGCUAUCACUUUUGGAACUUGCAUCUCUUG